GGGCAAUUAGCUCAGUUGGAUAGAGCGAUGGCCUCCGGAGCCAUAGGCCGCGCGUUCGAAUCGCGCAUUGCCCA
RNAcentral lists this transfer RNA (74 nucleotides) under Acidobacteriota bacterium. RNAcentral's name for it is "Acidobacteria bacterium (permafrost metagenome) tRNA-Arg". It matches the Rfam family "tRNA". From Rfam's summary of the family: Transfer RNA (tRNA) molecules are approximately 80 nucleotides in length. RNAcentral also lists the same sequence under 3 other names. Lineage: Bacteria; Pseudomonadati; Acidobacteriota. The record is from RNAcentral.